This is a long non-coding RNA of Callithrix jacchus (white-tufted-ear marmoset), 1939 nucleotides long. RefSeq lists it as uncharacterized. NCBI's taxonomy places the organism in Eukaryota, Metazoa, Chordata, Mammalia, Primates, Cebidae. The record is from RefSeq and is a predicted model, not a curated record.
CACAUCUGACUCCCUCUCAGCUGUGCACAGCAGUGAUCAGCUGGGGAUUUUCCUUGGUGUAUCAAUUAGUAUAAGACAAGCUGCUGUCACAAACCCACCCAACAAAAACCCAGAAGAUAGAAAUUGAAUUCUCUCUCCUCAAACCAGGGGAAAGGAGGAGAGACUACAGAGAGCUUACUCAUGUUGGAGGGAGGAAGAGAGGCUGCAGAAUGUGGAAGCCAGUUCUCCUGAUUCAAUGAGUCUGUUUCUGGCACAGCCAGCUGGGCUGCCUUUGGCUGAAAGCCCAGCAGAGUCAGAAAGAAAUCUGAGGCUGUCAAGGAAGCCUAAGGGUGAGUCUUCAAUGCUGGGCCCAGAGGGAGCAUAACCUCCACCUGGCCUUGUCUGGUUCAUCUACAGCCUGCAGGAAGGAGAGAGAGAAAAUGUGAAUAUGAGAACUCUACCCUGCUGCAUGCUAACCUCGCAGCUCUGUCUUGGGAAAGUGGAAUGCAAAGAACUGGAUGGAAUCUCCAUCAUCCCAGGGUGCCCUUCUGCCAAGACCUUGGAUGUCUGUCCUUCCAGUGGAGUAGCACCGCCACCACCUGCCUCCAGUUGAAGGUCAUGAACUUUCUCUGAAAUCAGGAUGGGCUACAUAAUUUGCAGAGCCCGGUGCAAAUAAAAAUGCAGGGCACUUGUUCAAGAAAUAUUAAGAAUGAAUUAAGGCAUAGGCAGACUGCUAAGCAUGUGCUCUGCCUGACUGCACAGGUGGCGUUCCCAUGAAGCUGAUCCUGCCUGAAACUGUCCUCCAGGGGAGUCCUGUUAAGAUGUAGAAGACAGUGUGCAAAACUCUGCAAGGGAAAUAGCUGUCAUUUUGGAAGCCAUCAGGAUCUUUUAGUGAAGUCAAGCUGAACCAUGGAGGUCAUCACAGUUCCUGACAGGUUGAGAAGCUCUGAUUUAUCCCCUCUAGAGUAGGAACUAAGGACUUGAGGGGCUGCAGAGCCAGCAGGUAACUCAGAAGGCCAGGGUGCAAAUCCUCCCUCUGUCUCUGAUGAGCUGAAUGACCUCAGCUCAUCAGGGACAGAGGGAGGAUUUGAGUUUGUUGAAUAGCUUCUCUGUGCCUCAGUGUCAUUGAGAUAAGGUGCCUACUUCACAGGAUUGCUUGGAGGAUUAACCCUAAAACUAUGGAGAGGCCAAGGACAUUUCCUGGCACAUAAUUUUGGAUAGUCUUGGCUGAUGUUAAGCAUCUUUUCUUUGAGCUUUGGUUUCUUUCCUAGGAGAACAUAAUGGGGAAAGGUAGAGGGCAAAGAUGGAUCUAGAGUCAGGAGUCCCGGUUUCUCCACUACUAACCACCUGCUUACCAAGCCAAGUCACUCUCCCACUCAAUCUCACUUCUAACAUUUAAGGAAGGUAGGGUGAAGUAUGACUUUCCUUCCAGCUUUAUAAUUCUGUUUCCAAGGAAUUCCACCUGUUCCUCUCAUUGGCUUAUCCCAGUGUAUUAGUCUGUUUUCAUGUUGCUGAUAAAGACAUACCCGAGAUUGGGCAAUUUACAAAAGAAACAGGUUUAAUUGGACUUAGAGUUCCACGUGUCUGGGUAAGCCUCACAAUCAUGGUGGAAGGCAAGGAGGAGCAAGUCACAUCUUACGUGGACAGUGGCAGGCAAACAGAGAGAGCUAGUUCAGGCAAACUCCUGUUUUUUUAAAACCAUCAGAUUUUGUGAGACUCAUUCACUAUCAUGAGAACAGCACAGGAAAGACCCGCCCCCGUAAUCCUGCUGGGUUCCUCCCAUGACAGGUGGGAAUUGUGGUAGUUACAAUUCAACAUGAGAUUUGGGUGAGGACACAGCCAAACCAUAUCACCUGGCAUCUAUUUUCUCUGAGGUUUAAGAAAUUCCUCCUCUUAUCUGACUGCAAAUCUUUCUCAUUAAAGUCCACUUCUUUUUCUGCCCUUUGUGUUAAAACAGGUC